UUAGAUACAGAUUAGUGAAUAAAAUUUAUUUGAUAUAUAUUUAGGAAAUGAGAGUCCACUUGUUUUUUAUUUUUAAGUAUCACUUUACUCUUUCAUGUAGAAGUUGAUUUAAAACAUACUUAUAUUUAUUCUACACUAUUAAAUACUCGAUUACGACUCUACCACGUGCAAUGCAAUACACCAAUUGCUUAUAUUAUUUGACAACAUGAUGCAUUCUUAUAUUGUUUCACUGUUAAUUUAGAUUUCAUUUUAUGGGAUCUUGGUCAUUUACUGGAUUUUCUUAUUUUGCAAAAUGACAUCUUCUUUUAGAAACAAAUCAAAUGAUAAAUGGCAGAGGAAAACACAACUCAAAAAUGUUGUUAUUGCUAUUUGAGGCAAAUUACACGACUUUAAUUGGGUUUUACUUAUAAGACUUGAAUUUUUUUCCUAGUGCAGUGAAAUGUACAACAGUAACAACUGACUAUUGACUCUUCUUCAGAAUAUCACUGAACAAGUGGUUGCUUAUAUGAGAGACCUAAAGUAAUAUGAUCAAGGGUAUGCAUCAGAAUAGAUUGGUUGUUUCCAUAUGUAGAAAAAGUAGGUCAAGUUUGAUUUUAUUAACUUAGUUUUGGUUGGG
RNAcentral lists this long non-coding RNA (616 nucleotides) under Olea europaea subsp. europaea. The record is from RNAcentral. Lineage: Eukaryota; Viridiplantae; Streptophyta; Magnoliopsida; Lamiales; Oleaceae.